RNAcentral lists this ribosomal RNA (377 nucleotides) under uncultured bacterium. RNAcentral's name for it is "bacterial SSU rRNA". It matches the Rfam family "Bacterial small subunit ribosomal RNA", at positions 523 to 898 of the family's 1533-position model. The record is from RNAcentral.
AUACGUAGGUGGCGAGCGUUGUCCGGAAUUACUGGGUGUAAAGGGCGUGUAGGCGGGGGAGCAAGUCAGAUGUGAAAUUCCCAGGCUUAACCUGGGCGCUGCAUCUGAAACUGUUUCUCUUGAGUACUGGAGAGGAAAGUGGAAUUCCCAGUGUAGCGGUGAAAUGCGUAGAGAUUGGGAGGAACACCAGUGGCGAAGGCGGCUUUCUGGACAGUAACUGACGCUGAGGCGCGAAAGCGUGGGGAGCAAACAGGAUUAGAUACCCUGGUAGUCCACGCUGUAAACGAUGGAUACUAGGUGUGGGAGGUAUCGACCCCUUCCGUGCCGGAGUUAACACAAUAAGUAUCCCACCUGGGGAGUACGGCCGCAAGGUUGAA